RNAcentral lists this ribosomal RNA (252 nucleotides) under uncultured bacterium. RNAcentral describes it as "partial 16S ribosomal RNA". It matches the Rfam family "Bacterial small subunit ribosomal RNA", at positions 524 to 776 of the family's 1533-position model. The record is from RNAcentral.
UACGUAGGAGACGAGCGUUGUCCGGAAUUACUGGCGUAAAGCGCGUGUAGGCGGAUGAGCAAGUCUGCUGUGAAAGCUCCUGGCUUAACCGGGAGUGGUCGGUGGAAACUGCUCGUCUGGAGGACGGUAGAGGUAGGUAGAAUUCCCGGUGUAGUGGUGAAAUGCGUAGAGAUCGGGAGGAAUACCUGUGGCGAAGGCGGCCUACUGGGCCGGACCUGACGCUGAGACGCGAAGGCGAGGGGAGCGAACGGG